This 450-nucleotide ribosomal RNA is filed under the name uncultured bacterium. Its description in RNAcentral is "partial 16S ribosomal RNA". It matches the Rfam family "Bacterial small subunit ribosomal RNA", at positions 338 to 795 of the family's 1533-position model. The record is from RNAcentral.
CCUACGGGGGGCUGCAGUGGGGAAUUUUGCGCAAUGUGCGAAAGCCUGACGCAGCAACGCCGCGUGGGUGAUGAAGGUCUUCGGAUCGUAAAACCCUGUCGUCGGGGACGAAGGUUGUUUUCCUAACAGGUGUGCAAUUUGACGGUACCCGGAGAGGAAGCCCCGGCUAACUCUGUGCCAGCAGCCGCGGUAAUACAGAGGGGGCAUGCGUUAUUCGGAAUGAUUGGGCGCGAAGGGCUAGGUCAGAGGUGUAAUCCCCGAGCUCAACUUGGGAACUGCAUCUGAGACUGGAAGGCUAGAGUACUGGAGAGGGUGGUAGAAUUCCACGUGUAGCGGUGAAAUGCGUAGAGAUGUGGAGGAAUACCAGUGGCGAAGGCGGCCACCUGGACAGUAACUGACGCUGAGGCGCGAAAGUGUGGGUAGCAAACAGGAUUAGAUACCCCUGUAGUC